Molecule: microRNA precursor, 103 nt
Filed under: Marmota monax (woodchuck)
Lineage: Eukaryota; Metazoa; Chordata; Mammalia; Rodentia; Sciuridae
Source: RNAcentral
AGUGGGAUAACUGGGUCAAAUGGUGAUUCCAUUCCAAGCUUCUUGAGGAAUCUCCAUACUUCUUUUCAGAGUGGUUAAACCAUUUUGCAGUCCUACCAUCCAU